CGGAACGUGGCGCAAUCUGGUAGCGCAACUCUCUCCAAAAGAGUCGGUUGGGGGUUCGAGUCCCUCCGUUUCGGCCA
Molecule: transfer RNA, 77 nt
Filed under: Rhodocyclaceae bacterium
Lineage: Bacteria; Pseudomonadati; Pseudomonadota; Betaproteobacteria; Rhodocyclales; Rhodocyclaceae
Description: tRNA-Trp
Rfam family: tRNA
About the family: Transfer RNA (tRNA) molecules are approximately 80 nucleotides in length. Their secondary structure includes four short double-helical elements and three loops (D, anti-codon, and T loops). Further hydrogen bonds mediate the characteristic L-shaped molecular structure. tRNAs have two regions of fundamental functional importance: the anti-codon, which is responsible for specific mRNA codon recognition, and the 3' end, to which the tRNAs corresponding amino acid is attached (by aminoacyl-tRNA synthetases). tRNAs cope with the degeneracy of the genetic code in two manners: having more than one tRNA (with a specific anti-codon) for a particular amino acid; and 'wobble' base-pairing, i.e. permitting non-standard base-pairing at the 3rd anti-codon position.
Source: RNAcentral